GUUUCCAAAGUGUAGUGGUUAUCACGCUCGCCGCACACGCGAGAGGUCCUCGGCUCGAAACCAAGUGGAAACA
Molecule: non-coding RNA, 73 nt
Organism: Grammomys surdaster
Lineage: Eukaryota; Metazoa; Chordata; Mammalia; Rodentia; Muridae
Source: the annotation of a RefSeq genome assembly